RNAcentral lists this ribosomal RNA (435 nucleotides) under uncultured bacterium. Its description in RNAcentral is "partial 16S ribosomal RNA". It matches the Rfam family "Bacterial small subunit ribosomal RNA", at positions 28 to 507 of the family's 1533-position model. The record is from RNAcentral.
AGCGAACGCUGGCGGCAGGCUUAACACAUGCAAGUCGAGCGGGCACUUUCGGGUGUCAGCGGCGGACGGGUGAGUAACGCGGGGGAACGUGCCCUCGGGUUCGGAAUAACUCAGGGAGACUUGAGCUAAUACCGGAUACGCCCUUUUGGGGAAAGGCUUGCCGCCGGGGGAUCGGCCCGCGUCUGAUUAGCUAGUUGGUGGGGUAACCGCUCACCAAGGCGACGAUCAGUAGCUGGUCUGAGAGGGUGAUCAGCCACACUGGGACUGAGACACGGCCCAGACUCCUACGGGAGGCAGCAGUGGGGAAUAUUGGACAAUGGGCGCAAGCCUGAUCCAGCCAUGCCGCGUGAGUGAUGAAGGCCUUAGGGUUGUAAAGCUCUUUUAUCCGGGACGAUAAUGACGGUACCGGAGGAAUAAGCCCCGGCUAACUUCGUG